CUACACGACCGUACCGCAAACCGACACUGGUGCGCGAGAUGAGUAUUCUAAGGCGCUUGAGAGAACUCAGGAGAAGGAACUCGGCAAAUUGACACCGUAACUUCGGAAGAAGGUGUGCCUUUAGUAGGUGAACCUGUACAAGGGGAGCCCAAUGAGGUUGCAAAAAAUCGGUGGCUGCGACUGUUUAAUAAAAACACAGCACUCUGCAAACACGAAAGUGGACGUAUAGGGUGUGACGCCUGCCCGGUGCUGGAAGAUUAAAUGAUGGGGUGCAAGCUCUUGAUUGAAGUCCCAGUAAACGGCCGUAACGAUAACGGUCCUAAGGUAGCGAAAUUCCUUGUCGGGUAAGUUCCGACCUGCACGAAUGGCGUAACGAUGGCCACACUGUCUCCUCCUGAGACUCAGCGAAGUUGAAAUGUUUGUGAUGAUGCAAUCUCCCCGCGGAAAGACGGAAAGACCCCAUGAACCUUUACUGUAGCUUUGUAUUGGACUUUGAACAGAUCUGUGUAGGAUAGGUGGGAGGCUUUGAAGUGUGGUCGCUAGAUCGCAUGGAGCCAACGUUGAAAUACCACCCUGGUGUGUUUGAGGUUCUAACCUAGGCCCGUAAUCCGGGUCGGGGACAGUGCAUGGUAGGCAGUUUGACUGGGGCGGUCUCCUCCCAAAGCGUAACGGAGGAGUUCGAAGGUACGCUAGGUACGGUCGGACAUCGUGCUAAUAGUGCAAUGGCAUAAGCGUGCUUAACUGCGAGACUGACAAGUCGAGCAGAUGCGAAAGCAGGACAUAGUGAUCCGGUGGUUCUGUAUGGAAGGGCCAUCGCUCAACGGAUAAAAGGUACUCUGGGGAUAACAGGCUGAUACCGCCCAAGAGUUCAUAUCGACGGCGGUGUUUGGCACCUCGAUGUCGGCUCAUCUCAUCCUGGGGCUGUAGCCGGUCCCAAGGGUAUGGCUGUUCGCCAUUUAAAGAGGUACGUGAGCUGGGUUUAAAACGUCGUGAGACAGUUUGGUCCCUAUCUUCCGUGGGCGCUGCAGAUUUGAGGAAGCCUGCUCCUAGUACGAGAGGACCGGAGUGGACACACCUCUGGUGUAUCGGUUGUCACGCCAGUGGCAUUGCCGAGUAGCUAUGUGUGGAAGAGAUAACCGCUGAAAGCAUCUAAGCGGGAAACUCGUUUCAAGAUGAGAUCUGCCGGGGCCUUGAGCCCCCUAAAGAGUCGUUCAAGACCAGGACGUUGAUAGGUCGGGUGUGGAAGCGCAGUAAUGCGUUAAGCUAACCGAUACUAAUUGCUCGUGCGGCUUGACCCU
Molecule: ribosomal RNA, 1298 nt
Filed under: metagenome
Description: bacterial LSU rRNA
Rfam family: Bacterial large subunit ribosomal RNA
Source: RNAcentral